AUUGAACGCUGGCGGCAGGCUUAACACAUGCAAGUCGAGCGGGGGAAGGUAGCUUGCUACUGGACCUAGCGGCGGACGGGUGAGUAAUGCUUAGGAAUCUGCCUAUUAGUGGGGGACAACAUCUCGAAAGGGAUGCUAAUACCGCAUACGUCCUACGGGAGAAAGCAGGGGAUCUUCGGACCUUGCGCUAAUAGAUGAGCCUAAGUCGGAUUAGCUAGUUGGUGGGGUAAAGGCCUACCAAGGCGACGAUCUGUAGCGGGUCUGAGAGGAUGAUCCGCCACACUGGGACUGAGACACGGCCCAGACUCCUACGGGAGGCAGCAGUGGGGAAUAUUGGACAAUGGGGGGAACCCUGAUCCAGCCAUGCCGCGUGUGUGAAGAAGGCCUUAUGGUUGUAAAGCACUUUAAGCGAGGAGGAGGCUACUUUAGUUAAUACCUAGAGAUAGUGGACGUUACUCGCAGAAUAAGCACCGGCUAACUCUGUGCCAGCAGCCGCGGUAAUACAGAGGGUGCGAGCGUUAAUCGGAUUUACUGGGCGUAAAGCGUGCGUAGGCGGCUUAUUAAGUCGGAUGUGAAAUCCCCGAGCUUAACUUGGGAAUUGCAUUCGAUACUGGUGAGCUAGAGUAUGGGAGAGGAUGGUAGAAUUCCAGGUGUAGCGGUGAAAUGCGUAGAGAUCUGGAGGAAUACCGAUGGCGAAAGCAGCCAUCUGGCCUAAUACUGACGCUGAGGUACGAAAGCAUGGGGAGCAAACAGGAUUAGAUACCCUGGUAGUCCAUGCCG
RNAcentral lists this ribosomal RNA (780 nucleotides) under Acinetobacter baumannii Naval-17. RNAcentral describes it as "bacterial SSU rRNA". It matches the Rfam family "Bacterial small subunit ribosomal RNA", at positions 28 to 802 of the family's 1533-position model. Lineage: Bacteria; Pseudomonadati; Pseudomonadota; Gammaproteobacteria; Moraxellales; Moraxellaceae. The record is from RNAcentral.